This 268-nucleotide unclassified non-coding RNA is filed under the name Ascomycota sp. RNAcentral describes it as "partial contains small subunit ribosomal RNA, internal transcribed spacer 1, and 5.8S ribosomal RNA". The stretch from base 1 to 47 matches the Rfam family "Eukaryotic small subunit ribosomal RNA", at positions 1785 to 1831 of the family's 1831-position model. The record is from RNAcentral. Lineage: Eukaryota; Fungi; Ascomycota.
AAAGUCGUAACAAGGUCUCCGUUGGUGAACCAGCGGAGGGAUCAUUACCGAGUUUACCAACUCCCAAACCCCGUGUGAACUUACCUCACCCCGUUGCUUCGGCGGUGCCGCCCCGGGCGCGGGCCUCUCGCAGGCCGCCAGCCCCGGAACCAGGCGCCCGCCGGAGGACCACAAACUCCAAUGUAUUCUAGCGGCGUGAUCUGAGUCCGCGCUCUCUGAGCGUCAGAAAAAUGAAUCAAAACUUUCAACAACGGAUCUCUUGGCUCUG